GUGGAAAGGCUCAUGUCGCUUAGUCUCUGUCUGCCUCCAUUCCACUGCACUUGUGACUCAGAGAGUGCAGCUGAGCUCUUUUGGCUCUCUGUCCAUCCACCUCCUCUGCAAAUGACUAUGGAGACGGGCUUAUUGAUCAGGGGCAAGUCACAGUUACGAACAUGGCCUAAAUGAUAUGCCCUAAACGUCAGUCUCAAUGACAUGAAGGCCAAAUGAAAGAUGUUUCUUACUCCGGGAGGCUGGAACUGCAAAACUUCCACUGCUUCAGUAUCAUUCAAGCCAAGCUGUAACCAGAUAGGGGAGUGGAAUGAGCCCAAAGAGAAGCCAACAAGAAUUUCUGGUCAUAUUUCUGGUCAAGGCCGGCUACUGAUUCAAGAGCCAUUGAUUUAAGAAGUAGUGGUAUCUGAAGAAGCAUUGAAACAGUUUUUACAAUCCAGAAUAGCUGUCAAGUGUUACUGUUUUU
Long non-coding RNA from Rhineura floridana, 463 nucleotides. RefSeq lists it as uncharacterized. Lineage: Eukaryota; Metazoa; Chordata; Lepidosauria; Squamata; Rhineuridae. The record is from RefSeq and is a predicted model, not a curated record. The transcript has 4 exons.